Molecule: non-coding RNA, 74 nt
Organism: Podarcis lilfordi (Lilford's wall lizard)
Lineage: Eukaryota; Metazoa; Chordata; Lepidosauria; Squamata; Lacertidae
Source: the annotation of a GenBank genome assembly
UGCAUGCUGGCUCAGUCUGGAGAGCAUGAGACACUUACUCUCAGGGUCGUGCGUUCGAGCCCCACGUUGGGCAA